UUGAUCUCAAAUCAGGCAGGACUACCCGCUGAACUUAAGCAUAUCAAUAAGCGGAGGAAAAGAAACUAACAAGGAUUCCCCUAGUAACUGCGAGUGAAGCGGGAAAAGCUCAAAUUUAAAAUCUGACAGUUGUUCUGGCUGUCCGAGUUGUAAUCUAGAGAAGUGUUACCCGCGCUGGACCGUGUACAAGUCUCCUGGAAUGGAGCAUCAUAGAGGGUGAGAAUCCCGUCUUUGACAUGGACUACCAGGGCUUUGUGGUGCGCUCUCAAAGAGUCGAGUUGUUUGGGAAUGCAGCUCAAAAUGGGUGGUAAAUGCCAUCUAAAGCUAAAUAUUGGCGAGAGACCGAUAGCGAACAAGUACCGUGAGGGAAAGAUGAAAAGAACUUUGGAAAGAGAGUUAAACAGUACGUGAAAUUGCUGAAAGGGAAACGCUUGAAGUCAGUCGCAUCGACUGGAAAUCAACCUUGCUUUUGCUUGGUGUAUUUUCUGGCUUGAUGGGUCAGCAUCAAUUUUGGUCGCUGGAUAAAGGCUUGGGGAAUGUGGCAUCUUAGGAUGUGUUAUAGCCCUUGGUCGCAUACAGCGGUUGGGAUUGAGGAACUCAGCACGCCGCAAGGCCGGGUCGUUUUACGACCACGUUUACGUGCUUAGGAUGCUGGCAUAAUGGCUUUAAUCGACCCGUC
Molecule: ribosomal RNA, 679 nt
Filed under: Inocybe dulcamara
Lineage: Eukaryota; Fungi; Basidiomycota; Agaricomycetes; Agaricales; Inocybaceae
Description: eukaryotic LSU rRNA
Rfam family: Eukaryotic large subunit ribosomal RNA
Source: RNAcentral